RNAcentral lists this long non-coding RNA (250 nucleotides) under Coturnix japonica (Japanese quail). RNAcentral's name for it is "lncRNA (ENSCJPG00005001863.1)". Lineage: Eukaryota; Metazoa; Chordata; Aves; Galliformes; Phasianidae. The record is from RNAcentral.
GAUUGGAAUGGAUUAAAUGCGGAUUGGGAUUGAUGGGAUUGGGAUGAGGAUGGAUGGGAUGAUAAUGGGAUUGGGAUGAAAUGGGAUUGGGAUGGGAUGGAUGGGAUUAAUAGGAUUGGGAUGAAUGGGAUUGGGAUGGGAUGGAUGGGAUUAAUGGGAUUGGGAUGGGAUGGGAUUGGGAUGGGAUGGAUGGGAUUAAUAGGAUUUGGGAUGGGAAUUGGAUGGGAUGGGAUUAAUUAGGAUUGGGAUG